Prionailurus viverrinus (fishing cat) is the source of this 1110-nucleotide long non-coding RNA. RefSeq lists it as uncharacterized. The record is from RefSeq and is a predicted model, not a curated record. The transcript is spliced from 4 exons. NCBI's taxonomy places the organism in Eukaryota, Metazoa, Chordata, Mammalia, Carnivora, Felidae.
CUGGCUGCUCGGUCCCCAGUGUCAGGACGGGGAAUUUUAAAGAAUAGCCGAAAGUUCGACUGCAAGAUGCGGUCAAACACCCCCAGAGUAUCUUGAACUUUAGCGGAGCACAUGGCUUUCCAGCUAGAGACCACAUUUCGCAGCUUCUUUUGCAGUUUCCUAGAAAAUGUAAACAACCAGGGUGAUCACGUGAGAUGCAAAAAUGGAAGGUAAAGAUUGAAGAUGACAGACUGUCAGAGCCUGUAUGACAUCACGUAGCAGAGCCACCUAGCAGUGUCCCCAGCCCACGGCUGCAGUGUUCCAUGAGGGACAAGUUAAAAUUGAUGCUACUUAAGAUUUCAAAGGAGAAGACCCAAGAUCUCUUCACACCUCCUCCUCUUUUUUUGUCCACCGCUCAUGCGUCCUUCCGACUGUCACUCUCUGGGCACACUCAAAGGCAAAACAUUAGACCGUGUUACUGUGUCACUGCAAGAAGGCAGAUCUGGUGCCGGGCAAGUGUAAGACAAUCCUACUGAGACAAAGAGGGACGCUUAGAAGGUAUGAAAAGUAACAAAAGACAACACACAAGCGUCGAGAGGGCCCGUAAAGAGAGAUCUAGGAUCCAGACAUGAACGUGUAUGUGAAUGGGAGACAAGGCAUUCAGGAGUGGAAGGGAGCAAGACCAAGCAAUCAGGACCCACGUGUAAAAGACAUUAAGUGUGAAAUCGAGAAGCAGCUCAUUACAUUAGAUUAGUGCUUAGAGGGAAAUGUGACUCAAAUUCUGUCAUUCUCUUUUCAUAAUAGAAAUGUCACAAUUAAGACUAAAAGAAACGAGGGAAUACAAAUAAAAGACCCAGCUUGAAAUCCCAAGUUUUCAGAAAGAAUAUCCUGUCUGUAUCCCCUAGCGCUCCUGCAAAACAUGACUCAAACCCACAAGGUCCAGAAAGGAGCUAAAUUGCAAUGCUUUCACCUGAAACAAUCUCCCUGGCGUACUCUAAAUUUUCGUUAAGUGAAAAGAAGGUUGCGACAGAAAAUUCUAUGCACAGCCUGCACUGAAGCCCCUGGAAAGCCAUUGGCAAACUGCCUCAGGGCGUAUCAGAAAUGGGGUAUAAAUGCGACAUCUUGUACUUG